RNAcentral lists this long non-coding RNA (32673 nucleotides) under Nicotiana benthamiana. RNAcentral describes it as "long non-coding RNA (NBEN_LNC011855)". The record is from RNAcentral. Lineage: Eukaryota; Viridiplantae; Streptophyta; Magnoliopsida; Solanales; Solanaceae.
AUAUGAUCAGAAAACUUCAAGCAUUUAAACUAAGCAAAUGAAAGGAACGUUUAUACAACACCAUAACAAAAUCUGAAAAUACAAUGAACACAGGACUAAAUAGAUUAUGAGCAUAGGUAGAGUGCUUUUCAAAGACAAACAAGCUCAAAUUCAUUUUCCAACAAGCUCAAUGUUUUCCAUACACAUAACCACAUUUAGAGCUUCACUUUCCGGUCAAUGGUUCAAAGAAAUACCUGGAAUUCAAAACAAAACAGAAAAUGGUGGUUCAACUGUAGAAACCACAGCAGCAGUAUAGCAGGAUUCAAUACCAACAUCCCAUUUCAACCCAAAAAGAUGUGAAGUUGUUCAAACAAACUCCUAAUCGAACAAUAACCCAAUAAUAACUUCAUAACCAAGCUUUUAAAACCAUACUCAUCCAUUUUUGACCCUAGAUGAAUCAAAAAGUGUUUCAGAAUUAGAAAAAAACCUCAGGAAAUCACCAGAGAGGAUUCAAUGAAACAAUAUCCUUGUAAAAAUUUUAGUUGUUUAGAUUUUUUCUGAAUUUUUAUCUCUUUUUAGUCUCUAAAAUCUCUAAUAUCUGAAUUGAGCUUCCCUUAACAAUGCCUUUAUAGGCAAGCUAUUAGGGAAGCACAAAUAGUUCAGUUUUUACCCUUUAGACCUUUCACGAUUUUUAUUUUAAAUGUUUGGUCCUUAAAUUACUUACUUGUUGGCCAAGUAAGCCUAUGUUGAGCUUCUAAGAAGCUUCCUAAGUCAGUUAUUGAAACAUUCCCUAAGUAAAUUACCCAACUUACCCUUCCAUGACCUUGUUUUUUACUACUGAAUCUCAAAUGGGUUAUGGGUCAAUGACCUAAAGGUUCAUGUCCAAGUGAACGGAUCAGAUGGACCUAGAGCCCAGACCAAAAGGGGUUCGAAACCCAAACCACUUAAUGAAAAGCAGAAAAAAGAUAUUUGGGUGAUUUCAGAAUUUGGAAUUUAUGCUACAAAUAAUGACUUUCUCCUCUAAAGUACUAAAUUAAGCACUAAGUUAAUAAUUUAUCAACAAACUACUCAGAAAAUUUCAAGGCCUUAAAAAAAACCGGAGAAUAUGAUUAAUGCUUUACAAAGAAAAUUGAAGAGAUGAAGCAGAAAUAACAAACAUUACAAAACGAACUAUCCUAAACAGAGGGAGCUAUAUUCAAUAUGGGCUUUAGUCUGAACAUGCUUGAAUAUAUGGAGGCGGAAGAAAAUUAACAAAAGAAGAGACGAAACAGAAAAAAACGAAAAAAAAGGCGAAGAAAGAAAAAAAACUCACCAAUAUAGACUGAGUCUAAUGGAGACUAAGGACUUGACCAAACUAACAUCAAUCCCUCGUUCUUUGUCAAGAAUAAACUGAACGAUAUUAGUUUCGGUAAGUCCAACCUUCAAAACUCGAAAAGAUAUAAACCCAAAGGUCGUGCAUGUUACCAGAAUUAACGAAAAAUGAUUUCGAACUUUGGAGGUCAAACUCGGAUUUAAUAAUUCGAUGAAUUUGAAGCUGAUUCGAGGGUAACUGGCCAUAGAUUAGAAAAGAGGGGUUUGUGCUGACUAUGUGGUGUUAGUUUGGGAGGGGUUGGUGGUGGUGCCACCACAGGAGAAAACAAGGGCAACGCUAGGAUUUGGACCUUUGAUCAGAUAUUUGAAGAGUUCCGGGUGUAUUUAAGGGAAGAUGACCGGAGAUUUGAGACGAGAGGGACAAGGGGAUAACUUGGUGUUAAUUUGGUGGUGAUUGGCCGCCGGCCACCGCCGUGGGCAGUUUCUGAAGGGCGGAAGACGGUGGCCCAAGAUUGGCGUUAUGUUAGGGCUUCUGAGGGUGUGUAAGAGACGGUGUAGGGAUAGGGGGAUAUUUCGACAUAUUUAUAUUAAAGGUAACCCUAAUUUCGGACCGUUAGAUUAGAGAGAUCCAACGGUCGCGGUUAGAGGAGGGAGAAACGGGGCCAUUUAGUUUUUAGAUGGGGUGGACCGGGUCUGGAGAUGGGCUAUAGACAAAACAUUUGGGCUUGGGAGUUUUAAUUAAAAUGGACCAAUCAGAUUUCUCCUUUCCUUCUUCUUUUCAAUUUCUUCCCUUUUUUCUAAAUUUUUUUCUUAAUGUAAAACAAAAAAUAAACCUAAAUUUAUACCUACUCCAAGUUAUCUAAUUAAAUUAAAUUAACCAACUUUAAAUAACAAAUACUAAAAAUGUUUUAAAAAACCACCUUAAAGGGAAUGACUACUUAAAAUGCAAAAAAAUUAAUUAAAAUUAAAAAAUGCAAAAUAAACUAUUUUUUGCUAUUUUUCCCAUUUUUACAAAACAACUAACUGGUUAAUUAAUCCUAAAACACAUACUUAAAUCCCAAAAUACAAACAAACAAGAAAAUUAUGCAGUAAUUCCUAAAACCCAAAUAAUUUAAAGAAAAAUCCUAAUUUUUGGAAUUCUGUAGGAGCAAUUCAUGUUAGGCAAAAAUCACGUGCUCACAGCUGCCCCUUUUUGCUCAUAGACACGAAGGAUUUUCGGGCAAAGAUAAAAUGAGCAACAAGGGAUUUCUGCCUGCUUGACACUCCAUGAGAAGCAUUUUUUUAAAAAGCCUGACUGAACCUUGCUUCAGAGAUUGCCUACAUAUCCUUGGCUAUAAAGGAUUCAGGUCAGUGUAUAUCUGGAAGUUUUGGUAGCUGGGACUACCGGGAAGCUAUGACUUCACUAUUGUUGCUGCUGCUACUACUUGCUGACCUCCUUAUUACACUAAAAGGAAAAUCAAAAGCUACGCUAGUUAGGCCUAUCAGCUACGAGUUACAUGAUUCCAAUCAAUAAAUCUCUUGAAGCUUGAUCUCGAGUCUUAGCUGGUUCUUAUUUUGGACUCUGGUCUUAAUCUUGAUGCUCAUCAGCUGCAUGUGUUGGUUCUUUCUUCGGCUUUUGGAUCAAAUCGGAACAUGCGAAACUUGUGACUUUAAUCGCAUUCAUGCGCAGUCUGCAUCUUUGUCUGCUUCAGCAUUUUUAAUUCACUUCUUUUUUGUCCUUUUUCAUUUUUUCUUUAUUCUAGACCGAGGCUCAUUUUGUCGGCCACCUCGAAUCCUGUGCUUUGAUUGCAAACUUUCUCAGAUGCAAAAACAAACAAACGAACAAAAUUUUUCUGCACUAUUUUUCACUAGGAAAAUUUUGUGAAUUAUUUCUGACAAAGUAUGAACUUAUUCUCUUUUCUUUUUUUUUCUUUUUUUCCAAAUAAAAUAAGAAUUGUAUCUAUAUAGAAGGGAAAAGAUCAGGGAAUGGAGCCCUAUAUCUAAAAUGUCAACUUAGGGAUUGGAGCCCUAAUGUUGGCGAAAAGGCGACUAGGGAAUGGAGUCCUAUGUCUGAAAACUCAACUUAGGGAUUGGAGUCCUAAUGUUGGUAAAAAGGCGACUGGGGGUUGGAGGCCCUAUGUCUAAAAAAUAAACUCAAGGAUUGGAUCCCUAAAAAAGUGACUAGGGAAUGGAGGCCUUAUGUCUAAAAACUCAACUCAGAGAUUGGAGCCUUAAUGUUAGUGAAAGGCGACUAGGGAAUGGAGGCCUUAUGUCUAAAAACUCAACUCAGGGAUUGGAACCCUAAUAUUGGUGAAAAGGUGACUAGGAAAUGAAGGCCCUAUGUCUAAAAAUCUCAACUUAGGGAUUGGAGCCCUAAUGUUGGUAAAAAGGCGACUAGGGAAUGGAGGCCCUAUGUCUAAAAACUCAACCCAGUGAUUGGAGCCAUGAUGUUGGUAAAAAGGCGACUAGGAAAUGGACGGCCUAUGUAUAAUAACUCAACUUAGGGAUUUGAGCCCUAAUGCUGGUAAAAAAGUGACUAGGGAAUGGAGGGCCCUAUGUCUAAAAAUUGAACUCAGGGAUUGGAUCCCUAAUAUUGGUAAAAAGGUAACUAGGGAAUGAAGGCCCUAUGUCGAAAAAUUCAACGCAGGGAUUGGAGCCCUAAUGUUGGUAAAAAUUUAAAAGAUUGAGGCUUGGAAUCCUAAGCUAUCAUUUCUUUUUUGUGUUUUGGAUUUUCUUUUCCUUUCUCUCUUCUUUUUUUCAUUUUCCCUUUUCAUUUCAUUUUAUUUCAAUAAAAUGCAGGAAAGAAUUUUAGAGGAAAACUUCUCUUUUGGGUUGAUUAUUGCUGCGAAGCUAUUUCUAGCUUUUGUGCACCUUUUCCUUUGGUUGCACUUGCUUUUGCACGAUUUCUUUGGGCUGCACCUGUUUCAAUUUCAAACAAGAACAAUUGUUAGUCAGAAAUGGUGGUUGGUUUUGUGGCCUUGAUUAUCUUGAUCACUUGAUCUCGGCCCAACAAUUUAGUGAGAACCUCUGGUGCUUGUUGGUUUUUCUGAAGAUCUCUCUCUCUCUCUCAAACAUAAGGACUCAACUUUCCAAAAUUUCAUGACGGCUCUCCCGCGUACGGUUUUGGUCCUUUCACUUUAUUCCGCCUUUAGGGCUUUUGCCUUUGGCUCUCUUUUCCUUUCAAAAUCUUUGAUUUCAAAGCAUCAGCCAACACAACCAGUCUGGUUUGACUCGAUGCACCCGCUGAGGCUAUGUAUUUUCUUUGGCUUGGCUUUUGUUGAACAGAACCUUGUAAAACUAAUCUUGCCACCUUUUCUUUGUACUAGUUUUGGCAAUGGAGUUAGACCAAAAGGGAUUCAAGAAAAAGUAAACAAGAGGUAAGAAAUUGAAUUAAAAGAGAAGUGUCCCUUUUGGGAAGGAAGGAAGGACUUAUCUGGGGUACAUGCAGACAUCAAUAGACAUGACAAUCUUCUUGGACUGGAUGCUCAACAUGCACAACUUUUCCAGCUUCUCAUAAACUCAUUGUGAGCCAUACAUACAAAUUGAGAAAUCUUGCCAAGACUCCAAUAGUGGUGAGGGGUUUCUUCUUUUCGAUCGACAACGCUCUUUACGGGUUUUUGCCAAUCCACCUCUCUCAUUUCUCUUCUCACCAUCGCCUGAUAGUGCUCUUUACGAGUUUUCACUAGCCAGGCUCUCUCAUUUUCAAUUUCUUUGCUCACUAUCCCUUAUGGUGCCCGUAGGUUUUCACCGAUAAGGCUCUCUCAUUUUAUUUCUCUCAUUUUGGUUGUAUCAGAUCCAGGAACCUGCAUUCUCUAAUUCCGACGCCUUUUGUUGAUUGAUCAGAAGGACCUAGACAAGGUUUGGCAUAUAAAGAGAAUUGGAUCCAAUUAAAACUUUGGAACCUUUCCGACGAUAUCAUCGCCGAACCAUUAUAUCAUCUGCUCCAGUUUUACUUUUUGGGGAAAAUUGGAUUUUUAUUUUGUUGUGACUGAACCCCAGAAAGAGGCUGCCUACGUAUCCUUUCGGAAUCAAGUCAAACGUACUUCAGGAAAACAUUUUGUUUUUGUUUUUUCUUUUGUUUUUCAGUUUUGCUUUGUUUUCUUUUCUUCUUUCUUUCUUCUUUUUCCAGUUUUCUUCUUUUUCAUUUUUCUUUUCUUUUCUUCUCUUUUUUUAAUAACACUUUCAGGUUCCAAAUAGGGUAACCAAAGAACAGUAACCUGCUGAAAAGGUUGAUAGUGUUUGGGUAGCGAGAAUAAAAGCCUUCAUCAUCCCAAUCAGAUAAUGUUGUUGCUGCAGAAAGCCUAAACAUAGUAGUUUUUCAUUGCAUCUGCAUUCACAGCUGCUUCGGGGUCAUUUCCUUCGACAUCUCCCAAGUAUAAUGCCCAUCUUGGCAAUAUCUUUCUGAUGAUAUAUAUGACUUUCCAAUUAGGAGCGAAUUUUCCUUUCGCUUCCUGAUAAUGGGAAAGAAUGCGCCUUAACACGAGUUUUCCCACUUCGAAACUCCUGGGCCUUACUUUCUUUUUAUAAGCAUGGGCCAUUCUUUGUUGGUACAACUACCUGUGGCAGACCGCAACCAUUCGAUUUUCAUCAAUUAGGUUCAACUAUUCUAGACGGAUCUUGACCCACUCACUAUCUUCAAUUUCAGCUUCAACAAUGAUCUGGAGAGAGGGAACUUCAACUUCUGCGGGUAUUACGACAUCAGCGCCAUAGACCAAGAGGUAUGGGGUUUCUCCAACCGAUGUGUGCAUGUAGUGCGAUAUCCCAAUAAUGCAAAAGGCAACUUUUCAUGCCACUGCCUGGAGCUCUGAAUCAUCUUUCUCAAAAUCUUCUUUAUGUUAUUGUAUGCUGCUUCGACGGCCUCAUUGGCUUUAGGUUAAUAAGGAGUAGAGUUCCUAUGCAUUAUUUUGAAUUGUUCUCAUAUCUCCGCCAUCAAACAAUUAUUCAAAUUUACAGCAUUAUUUGUGAUGAUAGUUGCAGGAAUACCAAAUUGGCAGAUAAGAUUAGAGUGCACGAAAUCUACCACAGCUUUCUUGGUGACGGAUUUGAGAGUGAUGGCUUCGACCCAUUUUGUGAAAUAGUCAAUGGCAACCAGUAUGAAUUUGUGCCCAUUUGAGGCUUUCUGCUCGAUUGAACCAAUGACAUCCAUGCCCCAAGAAAUAUAUGUCCAAGGUGCUGACAUGGGAUGCAGUUCUGUGGGCGGUGCAUGAAUUAAAUCACCGUGUACCUUACACUAAUGACACUUCCGGAAAAUGCUGAAAUAGUCAUUUUCUAUGGUUAUCCAGUAAUAGCCCACUCGAAGGAUUUUCUUUACUAAAACAUUCCAUUCAUGUGGAGUCUGCAUACUUCCGUGUGCACUUCAUGCAUGAUUCUUCCAGCCUCUUCUACGUCAACACAUCUUAAAAAGUUGAGGUCCGGAGUUCUUUUGUACAGGACAUAGCCACUCGCGUGCCGUCUAAUGGUUCUCUUUUGGUCCCCACUGGCUUGCUCGGGAUAUUCUUGUAUUUUUAGAAAUCUUUUGAUGUCACGGUACCAUGGCUAGGUAUUUGGUUCUGCUUCAACAGUAUUGCAAUAACCAUGCCUUCCCCGGAUUUGGAUUUCCAAGGGAUCUACAUGAGCAUUGCCUAGAUACGACAACAUUAAAGCCAAAGUAGCAAGUGAUCAGACAAUUUGUUGUGACAACGAGGGAUGUACCUGAACUCUAUUGACUUGAAUCACCUGCUAAGAUCUUCCACAUGCUGCCAAUAAGGGAUAAUCUUGACAUCUCGAGUUUCCCAUUCUCAUUGAGCUUGCUGGAUAAUCAGAUUUGAGUCUCCCAUGAUCAAUAACUCUUCGACGUACUGGUCGAUCACCAUAUUUAUACCCAUAAUGCAGAAUUCAUACUCGGCAGUGUUGUUUGUGCAGAAAAACCAAAGCCGGGCUGUGGCUGGGUAAUUCUGACCAAUGGGUGAGAUCAAAACUACCCCAAUUCCCACACCUUUUGAAUUUACCGCUCCAUCAAAAAACAUUUUCCAAGCAGUAAUAUCCUCGGAUAUUGCCUCGACUGAGUUUACCUCUUCAUCCGGGAAGUAAGUGUUCAAAGGUUGGUAUCCAUCAUGAAUCGAGUUUUCAGCCAAAUGAUCCGCCAACGCCUGGGCUUUCAUUGCCAUGCUGACUAUGUCAAAUCAGUGAGCAAGAUUUGCCAUUUUGCUAAUCUUUCCGUGGGCAUCGGUUUCUGGAAAAUGUAUUUCAACGGAUCCAACAUGGUUAUAAGGUAAGUGGUGUAGGCUUGCAGAUAAUGUCUCAACUUCUGAGCGACCUAAGUUAAAGCACAACAAGUUCUUUCCAACAAAGUAUACUUAGCUUCAUAGCUGGUAAACUUCUUACUCAAGUAGUAUAUUGCAUGCUCUUUCUCUCUGGUAACAUCAUGUUGCCCGAGGACAGAACCAAAAGAGUUUUCCAAGACUGUCAGGUACAAGAAUAGAGGCCUCAUCAUCAACUGAAUUUUCAGCCAGAUGAUAUGCCAAUGCCUGGUCUUUCAUUGCCAUGCGAGUGACAUAGACUAUGUCAAAUUCGGUGAACAAGAUCUGCCAUUUUGCUAAUCUUACCGUAGGCAUUGGUUUCUAGAAUAUGUAUUUAAAAGGAUCCAACCUGGUUAUGAGGUAAGUGGUGUAGGCUUGCAGAUAAUGUCUCAACUUCUGAGUGACCCAGGUUAAAGCACAACAGGUUCUUUCCAACAAAGUAUACUUAGCUUCAUAGCGGGUAAACUUCUUGCUCAAAUGGUAGAUUGCCUACUCUUUCUUUCCGGUCACAUCAUGUUGCCUGAGGACACAGCCAAAACAAUUCUCUAAGACCAUCAGAUACAAAAACAUAGGCCUCUCUAGUUCAAGUGGGACCAAGAUGGUGGGUUAGACAGAUACUCCUUGAUUUUAUCAAAAGCUUCUUGACAUUCAUCCGUCCAUUUGGUUGUUGCAUCUUUCUUCAGCAAUUUGAAUAUGGUUUACACGUGGAUGUCAACUGAACAAUGGACUGGCUGAUAUAGUUCAAUCUGCCCAACUAGCUCAUCUCAUCUUUCUUGGUUCUCGGAAUAGGCAAAUCCUGAAUAGAUUUUACCUUAAUCAGAUCUAACUCAAUACCUCUCCAGCUGGCUAUAAAGCCCAAACGUUUGCCCGACGGGACCCCAAAUACGCAUUUGGCUGGGUUCAACUUCAAGUCAUACUUGUGAAACCGCUCAAAGAAUUUCUUUAGAUCUUGAACAUGGUCAUAUUAGGUUUUGGACGUGAUGAUUACAUCGUCCAUAUACACCUCUAUCUCUUGGUGCAUCAUAUCAUGGAAAAUGGCAGUCAUGGCCCUCAUGUAGGUUUCCCCAGCAUUCUUCAAACAAAAUAGCAUGACCCUGUAAUAGUAUGUACCCCCAAGGUGUGGUAAAAGCUGUCUUUGUACAUCUUUUUCAUCCAUCAACACCUAGUGAUAUCCUGCGUAACAAUCCACGAAGGACUAUAUCUCAUGUUUGGCGCAGUUAUCAACAAGGAUGUGGAUGUUUGGCAAAGGAAAGUUAUCUUUAGGACUUGCCUUGUUUAGAUCUCUGUAAUCCACAUACACUCGGGUCUUUCCGUCGUUUUUCAACACUAGAACUACAUUGGCUAGCCAUCUUGUGUAUCGGACCACUCGGAUCACUCCUACUUUCAACUGUUCUGUGACUUCUUCCUUAAUCUUGUCACUAAUAUUAGUUUUCAGUUUUCUUUGCUUUUGCUGGAUACGGGGCAAUCGGGGUAAGUUGGCAACUUAUAAACCACCAAAUUGACACUCAGUCCUGGCCUGUCAUCCUAUGACCAAGCAAACACAUAUUUGAACUCAAACAGAAGUUAGAUUAAUGCAUCUUGGGUUUUUCAUCUGUGUGAAUGCUUAUCUUGGUCUCUCUGAUUUCUUCAGAACUACCAAAUUAACUGGAUCAAUGUUAUCAAAUUUUGGCUUAGGUUUAUUCUGGAAUUGUUCUAGUUCUCAAUUUAUUUCCCUAAAAGCCUCUUCGUCAUCAUAUUCUUGCUCUUGGUUCAUUGUUUCACAGUUAGAAAGCGUGUUUGGAUCUGGGCAUGAAGUCUGCAAGCAUGUCAUGUUAUAUAAAGCCACAUUAUUAGAACUGAAAGAAGAAAUAAAAAGAAAAUAACAAAAAUUAGAAGGAAUAAAGAAAGAUGGACGAUGAAAUAUUGAUUUCAUUUCAUUGAGUUUGGAAGAUAACAUGGUUUACAUUGGAAACUAAAAGACAUAAAACUAAAGAAAAACAUCCGCGUUACACCCUAGAAUAACUCGUGAUAUAGAAAAGGUGGUAGGACAGGUCCACGGAGGCUCUCGCCUAAUUGGGAAUGGUGUAGCCUUCCAAUUUUGCAAUUUGACCUCAGGUCCCAUGUACAACACCUCGGCCGUGCUUGAGCCUUCCCCUGGCUGGACUAUGUGGGUUUCAUAUAGUAUCUUCCUCAUUUCCCUAUAGAUCUCUUCAAUCUCUUCGGGCGUAAAUGCCUCAUCCUCUUCUUUUUCAUUGUAUUUGGGCUUGACGAAUUUUUUGUACAGAUGCGGCACUGGCUGCGGUAAGACCCAUCCAUUAUUUUUUCUACCAUCUGCCCAUUUUAUGUCUGCUAGUGUGGGUCUAAAGCCAACCCCAAAGAACUUUUCACUGGCAAGUAGGGUGAUAGUUUCAGCUAUUCAUUGCAAUAGUUUCCCAAGCCCCUUCCAGGUUUAAAGCCACGCUUCAUCAUUUCCUUGGCUACCAUGAUUUAUGCAUUUGAAAGGAAGGGUUGGGGGCAAGGUUUUCCUUCUUCGCACUGAUUUGCGACCACAAUUUCAAAGGCCUGAUAGACUAUGUGCUCACUCCCCUCUCUUGCUUCAAGACAUAGGACUGAUGGGUCCCGAUAGAUUGAUUUCUCAUCUUCCCCGUGGACCACAAUCUCUUGAUCCUUAUGCUCAAAUUUCACCAUCUGGUGAAGAGUAGAAUGUACGGCCCCCACUGCAUGAAUCCACGGUCUCCCCAGAAGAAAGUUGUAAGAGGUGUCCAUGUCCAAAACAUGGAAGGUUACUUCGAAGUCUACGAGGUGGAUGGUUAGGAUCAGAUCAAUCUCUCCAAUUGUGUCCCUUUUUAUACCGUCAAAAGCACGUAAGCAGACAUUGUUCGGUCGGAUUCUCUCGAUACCGAUUUCCAUACGCUGCAGUGUCAAGAGUGGGCAAAUAUCUACUCCAAAACCCCAUCCAAUAUAACCCCUUUUAUGCAGUACCCUUAGCAUUUGACUGUCAGGUGCAGGGCUUUGUUGUGUGCGGCCCCUUCUAGGGGCAAAUCAUUUUUACUGAAGGAGAACUUGUUGACUGUGAUAAAUCUUUCUACCAUUCUCUCCAACUGUUCUACAAAGGUCUUAACAGGCAGAUAUGCUUCGUUAAGGGUCUUGAUUAAUACCUUUUGAUGUUCGGUGGAGUUUAUCAAACAGAGAUAACAGAGAGUUUUGCGGCAGACUUUUGAAGCUGGUUGAUCACCUCAUAAUCCGCCAUUUUCAUCUUUUGAAAUAAAGCCUCUACUUCUUCGGCACUCACCGACUUCUUAUAUGGGAAGUGCUUUCUACUGGUGUUAUUCACCUCUUCCAAAUUGAAAUAUUUUCAGCCGGGUUAUUUUCUUGAAUCUCUCCUGAGAUUUCUUUGCCUUUGUAAGUCACUACUGAUUUGCUAUAAUUCUAAGGCAUAACAGGAGGAUCCAUCAUUGGCUUUUGUGCAGCACGACCAAUAACCACGGGCUCACUCAGCCUUGGUGGAUUAAUUGGCCCCUGCAUAACAUCAACUCCCUUGGCACAUAUAUUUGGGUUUUCUUGCUCUCAAAUAUCAUGGGAGGAUUCAAUGUCAUCUGCUUUUCUUUGCGGCCUCGAGGGACAUAUAUAACAUCAUCUUUGGGGGGCAUUUCCCUAGUUUCGACUUCCAUUUUCUUCUCUGACUUCGGAGGGGUGGUUUUGUUAUUUUUCUUUCCAUUGUCUUGCUUCGGGGCAGCUUUUGGUUUCUUUUCUAUGUCAGUGAUGGCAAUGAUGACCUUCAAUGCUGGGUCAAAUUCCUUAUCCUCAUAAAUCAUUCCGAUUAACGGCCCGUUGUUGUGGGCAGGCAAUAAGUUGUUGGUCACAUGGGGAAUAUCUUCAUCCCUUAACAUAUCUUUCUUUUUUCUAUCAAGCUCUUCAUGACUCUCUUAGAGUCCAGCAAUCAUCCGUGUCACCCUUCUUCCCCUGAGUGAUAGCCUCAUCGGGCACCAGCUUAAUAAGCGGGUGAUAUCGAGUUUUGUCGAGUUUGGGGAACAUGAUAUAGUAGGCCCAUUUGAACAAGUUUUGGUAACAGGCUGGAGUAUGAUUCACCAAUUGGUGUGAAAUUUGGCCUCUUGGGUGGUUCACGGCGUGGAAAUUGUUUUGUGGAGGCCGAGGGUUGUAGUGAGUUUUGUAAGGAGGCUGGUUUCUAGAAACUGGAGCUUGGUUUUGAUUGGCUUAUUAUGGUGGCCGGACAUAAGGUUGAGCAUUCAUUACUGUGUAUGGCUGAGAAUCAUUAGUCAUAUCUUGAUGAGAGUAUAGUGUUGCGGGGUUCUUUUUGAGAAAAAGGAUCUGGGAGUAUGGUGUUUUCUUGCACGUGACGCUCCCAUUGAUGUUUCUUCCUUUUUAUUGCCCUUUAAUACUAAUCCAAACCCACCAUAGAUGGCUUGGGAGGUAGCUCUUAUAGUGGGUUGGCUAAAAAUUAGACAUGUCUUGAUCCCAUUUUCAACCAUUUUGCCAAUCUUGAUUUCAGCAAACAGUUUACCCAUUGCGGACAUCAUAUUCUGGAAGUAGUCAGCCUCUUGGGCUUGGAGGAAAAUCAUGACCAUUUUAAUCUCAUCCAUCAGAGUCUUUACCCAGGAGGCCUACUCAUGCCAUUUAACUGCGUACUCUCAGAAGCUUUUCGAGGAUUUCUUCUUCAAGUUUGUCAAUGAGUUCCUAUUUGGAGCAAUAUCAAUGUUGUACUGGAAUUGCCUGACAAAAUCUCAAGCAAGAUCAUCCUAGAUGUGCUACUGGGAUAUAUAUUGGUCCAUGUACCAUUCAUAUGCAAUGCCAACCACAACUUAUUUGAAGUAGGCCAUGAGGAGUUUUUCCUUUCCACCGGCUCCUCGCAGCUAGUUGCAAUAUCUCUUGAGGUGAGCAAUAGGAUCACCGUGUCCACCGAACUUAUCAAAUUUUGGGGUUUUGAAUCCCUAUGGUAUAUGCACAUUCGGGAACAUACACAAGUCGGCAUAGGAUAAACUUUUCUUUCCACUCAAGCCUUGUAUGUUUUAAGGCUAUGUUCCACACUCCUCAUCUUUCUCGCAAUCUCUUCUUGCUCGAGAGUUUUAGUGGUCUUUUCUUUCCCCGCAGUGAACUCAUAUCGGGGUGGUUGAGAGUAAGUAUAAGUGGGAAAUUACAGAGGUUCCAUUGGGAAGGAGGGUGUUUGGAAGGUGAAAGCUAGGGGGUCAAAACUAGGCCUGGGCAGUGUAGGUUGUGCCGUGGCCGAGAAAGGGGGAGCGGUAAAGAUUUUUGAGGCUGCACUGGACAUUAACACCUGGGGGCGAACCUCAGAGGAUGUUCCGAUAAAAUGAGCUAAGAUAAUUGGGUGUCCUAGUGGUGUAUUUGGAUGACUAAUCGGGAUGGUAGAGGUACCGCUUGCUCUAGGAAAGAGUUCAGGAAAUCCCAAAUUGCGCUUGGUGGAUCUCUUCUAUUUGACCAAGCAUUCCAAAUCUCCAUAACCCGAAGACGCAUGAUUCUAUUUUCUUCAUAAGCUGCAGAUUCUGAGGUCGUGAUGCCUGAGAUUGGACUAUCAUCCAUGAUGGGAAUUAUUGGCAGAUUCACUUCUAAAGAUAUUUCGAUACUCCCUUUCGAUCUCGCAAAGUAUGGGCGCGAAGCCAGAUUACCACAAAACUAACCACCAUUAUAUAAAAACCUGGACUGAUGUAAUAGCAACAAACGGUCAGUUUUAAACAAAAAACGAAUAGGUAAUCGCACGUUAGGGGUGUGAUGCACCUAUACAGUUAAAUGUGUUUCUACAUGUUUUGCAACGGUUGCACGCUUCAUCCCAGCUUACUUAUUCUUUCCUUUUCAUUUCUCUUUUUUUUCUUUUCUUUUCUUCUCUUGCUUUUUUUCUCUUUUUUUUUAUUUUUAUUCUCUCAUUUUCUUUUCCUUAUUGAAAUUAUUCAAUGACCAGAUCUGAUGAGGAUUGCCUACAUGUCAUGAUGCCACAUGAAUCAGAUCAUUACAUAGUUCAAGAAAAAAUUAAUGCAAAAAGUAAAGAAAUAAUUUUUUGGGGAAUUUUUUAUUUUCAUUAAUAAAAACUCCAAAGCUUCUGCUACAAAAGAUUUCAAACUACUUCAUUUUCUUGGAAUGAAAAACUACAAACACACUCAAAAUAAACCAAAAUACAGACUCGAUAAAUGAAAAAUGAGGAAUACAUUAAAGCAUCAACUCUUGGGGCCCGCGGGGCAUCAUUCAGCCUCACCACGUGCCUAUGUGCGAAAUCCCCUUGUAAACGCUCCAAAUCACUCAUUAUCUGGUGGAUGAAUGUCAUUACUGCAGCGAAGAAGGUGGUUUUGGUCAUAUCCUCACAUGCCUGGCAUUUUGCGACGAUAUAGUCGCCAAUACCUCUAAUCCUUUCUCGAAUCCUACCAUUUUCUUGAAGUAGACACCCGAUUUGCUGCUUUAUGGCUUCUAACACCUGAAUGUCGUUAUGGUUUUGGUUUGCAGCUAUUGCAGUUCCUCCUCCAUCGGAGCUAUUAGAGCAUAACAAUGUUCCCUAUUAGCUUUAAAGUCCUUGGCUUGAUUAGCCGCCUCAUUCUCGAUGGUAGUUAACUUUCUUCUCAGGUUGGUGAUUGUCCCAUCAUACUUUCUUUUCAUUUAUUGCACAAACUAUGUCCUCCCUACUGCAUUCUUCGCCAAUUGGGCCCAGACUUUUGCUAGAUUGGCUUCCGAUUUUUCUAAAUGAUCUCGACUCUCGAGCGCUUUUCUCCUUAGACUACGUAUAAGUCUUUCAUCUGGUCGGCUUCUUUCCGGGUUUCUAGCUGCUAUUCUCAUUUUCUAGAUUUGAGCUUUAAGAACUUUGUUUUCCUGAGUUAGCUUUUCCUUUUCCCAUUCAUCUGCGACAGCUUGGAUACUUUUGGCAAAUUCGAGAUCCCUGAUUUGUCCUUCCAACAUACCUAUUUUGGUCUUGUAGCUUUCUUCUUUUGCACACCAGCCCCAUUGCUCUUGCGAGUCGUCAGUGAAUUGCUGAAUGUGGGCUCUCUUAGUAGGUCUUUCUGGAAUCUGGAAUCUUUUAACGAACCAAACAAUGUACUUAGGGUCCACUUCACCUCUAACUAGAUCUCUCACCAUGGUCUUAGGUUCAAGAAAUCUACAUUCAUUGAACACCUGGCGAAUUCUUUCCUCAAGAAAUACGGCUUUUGGGCCCAACUCAAUGACAUGUUUGCUCAAAUAUUCUUCAUGCAGAACGAUUUCUGAUAACACCAAACUAUGCCUUAUUAACAAAUACACACGGACGUCGCAAAUAUAUUCUGAGUAUUUCUGCCCAGAGUCGAACCACAGGGAAUUAACCUAUCAAUUAUUUUUGUCGAACUUACUAAAUUCACGGAUUCAAUUUCCCAAACUUUGUAAUUCACAAUUGAUGAUAUAUCUAACAACUAAAUUGAAAAUAAAUAACAGCUGAAAGUUAACUAAUGUUGGUUUGUAAACAAUUGGAAUAAGUUCUAAGGUAAUGGUUUCCCCCGUUGUUGAUUUCCUUGGUUGAAUAUGUUUUACAGUUGAGACUUAGUUGUCUCCACCAAUCAUGAAUGCUCCAGCUAUCAUAAAUCUUUCUCAAGCAAUUAUGAUAAUUUACUAGACGCNNNNNNNNNNNNNNNNNNNNNNNNNNNNNNNNNNNNNNNNNNNNNNNNNNNNNNNNNNNNNNNNNNNNNNNNNNNNNNNNNNNNNNNNNNNNNUCAGCGCAAGUUCUGGGCAUCAAAUGUACAACAUGGAAUACAAUAUCUAGAUUCAUGUUACAGUUCACUUAGAUUGCACCCGAGGUAUUGUUAUGUCUAAUCCAACCUCUAAACCCUCGAUUAUGACUCUCGUCUAUACUCUGGGAGUGAUGUUGUUCAUAUAAUCACCUAAAUAUGCUCUCUCUCUCUCUCUCUCUCUCUCUCUCUCUCUCUCUCUCUCUAGCAGAUACAUACUAUUAGGGGUGGAUAAUUGAGGGCCCUUUCAACUAACCACAAUCAAAAUGUAGAUGAAAAAAUAGAGAUUAACAACCAAUUCAAAACUGUAUUAAUAUAACAACCAAGUCAUCCCCAAUGGGUUUCACCAAAACCUUAAAUUAAAGUAUUUAGCUACUCAUAACAAUGUAAGACAAAACUACUAAAUUAUUCAUAAUGGAAGAAUUGAAAGAAAAAUAGAAGAGAUAAAGAACUAUGAUGUUUUGGGUGAUCUCUUACACUUGUUCUUCUUCCAAAAGUAAUCUAAAAAAUAAGCCCUCAUUUCAUCUUAGGUGAGUUUCUACAUCUUAUAUGGGUUUCACCAAAAGUUUUCCCGAAAUGGCACUUUGGCCCCUAAAAUUUCUGGAUCGUGAAUAGUUCACCGCGGCCGCGGCGUGGACCGCCGUCGACCGCGGUGAACAAACACUACCUCGGCCUAUUUUUAUGUUUUAUCUCUGCGCUCUGCUCCGCUGUCCUCCGCGGUCGUGGUGAACUUUUGUCCAAUCAUUUCUUUUGUUCUUUUGUGUUCGGGUACUUCUUGAGUGAGUGUUUUCUUCACAUUAUUGCCUCCAGACACUUCAUGUUGCUUCCUCACAAAUAGUAUUCCCUGCGACACAAAUUAGCACCAUUUAAUGCAUUUUAUGCAAUUAAGGUGUAAAUAUCAACUAUAUAGCCUAUUAUCAACACCCCACACUUAAAUUAUUGCUAGUCCUCGAGCAAUUCACCUCACUCCAUCAAAAUUCAUUCCCUAUGCUUUUCCCUCAACGACUCAUACCAUGAACAUUUUACAAAAGAUACACUUAGCAGAGAGCAAACGUUUACCUCAAGAAUCAAAUCUUUUGUACCCCGUAACAUUUGCACUAACUCAAACCACUCUACACAAGAGUCAAGACCUACAUUUCCUUUGUGAAUCGUAUGCCCUCACACACACAAGAGAGUAGUUCCAUAUAUAAUGAUAGUGAUAGCAAUUAGGAACUAAAAUAGACAGAAUUCGCUCACUCUCCAAAAAGAACAUUCACAUGCUACAAAGAUGUACCAUAAGCUUGUCCGUAGUGUAGUACUCGACUAAUCAAGCUCAUCCAAUCUUGGAUCAAUUAGGACUUUAUUUGGUUGUAAUGUAUGCUACGGGAUGGGUAGAAGACAUUUAGAUAUAAGAGUGACUACACCUCUCUACUAGUUUAGUACUCGACUAAUCGAGCUCAUUCAAUCUUGGAUCAAUUAGGACUUUAUUUGGUUGUAAAGUAGGCUAGAGGACGAGUAGGAUACAUUUAGAUAUAAGAGUGACUACACCUCCCUAAGAACUUUAAAACAUAUAUUUUAACAUUCAAACCCCAUACUUAUGUCAAACCAAAAUUCCACCUUCAUAUCAAUGUGAAUUAACCCCUUCUUCUUUAAGCACACUUAUGUCAAGAGCCACCACUUAUCAAGGAAAUAUUAUUAUAUUUUUUGUUUCAAUUCAAGUGGAUCUUCCUUUUUCAAAACAGUGCACAUUUCUCCUUAUUCAAUUAGUUCCACUCAAAAGCCAAACCAACCACCCCAAACUUUAACUUUUACAAAGCUCAUAACAAUUCAAGUGCUCAUGAGAGGUGAAAAGGUUCAAAUAAAUGGUUAAUUCAAACAAAUGGGUAAGGCUUGUAAUGUGGUUGCCAAGGAAAAAAGAUUAUAGGAUCAAUGGGGUUAACUAUGAUACAUAAUAAUUAGGUGGGUAAAACAUACAUAUUUGACUCAACAAAGAAAUGCCUAUAUCACUUCAAAAACUGAAUGGAGCUACUAUUUCGCUUUGCAAACACACAGCGCAAGUUCUGGGCAUCAAAUGUACAACAUGGAAUACAGUAAUACUCACACACACAUGGCACAUGACUCACUCCGGAUUAGUUUAUCGAGGCAUUCUCUUUGAAUAUUCAAGUUAGGUACAAACAUACAAUUUUUAAGGCACUUAAAUAAGAUUCAACCCUUGAAGCUAAGACUACACUCUAGCAUUUAUCGUUUUCAGGUGUAAGAAUGCUCAGGGUUUUGUUUUCAAUUUUAAUCUCGUCGCCCAUUAAUCCUAACCUAAAACAAAAAACAAAUAUCUACCUAUACCCAGUUCAAUCUAAACCCUUGGAAAAGAACUGUAGCCCAAAGAAAAACCAAUGGGAGUUACUACACUACCUAAAAAAAUCUUUUUGCUAUUUUCUCUAGACUAACUUCCCUCAAGAAAAGUUUCUAAAGGAUCCGUCAUCAAGAAGAGUCUCUAUAUUCUAUUUUUUUUCUCGACUUAGUCCCUCAAGAACCCCGUCAAAAGAGAUACGUCGUGGGGACAAGUCAUUUACUAUUUCUAUUUCUACUUACCUAAUGAAUUAUUGUUCUAACACCAAAACAAUCAAAGAAAAUAUUUAAUUAUUACAAUUACCAACAUACAAUGAAGUAUCCCCCACCCCACACUUAAAAGAAAGACAUGUCCCCGUGGCUUGACAAUAUAAAAAAGUAAGGUAAAGAAACUUCCCUGAAGAAUCACUCUUGAUCUGAAACUGUAUAUGGGUUCACGUUGCAGGCGUGACCCAAAGCUCUCAACCAGCCCAUGAAUUUCUUUUCUGACUUCACCUGUCGGUCAACCACCGCAUCAAUACCGGAACGCAAGUCAGCUACGGAGGUCCGCAACCCAGCCAUAUCUUACUCCAAAGCAGCCAUGCGAGUGCUUCGGCGUGGCUGUGAUGGUCCUGCCUCGUCCCCUCUCGGACGAGCUGUGAUGUCAGUAGCCCUAGCAUCAUCAUCACACUCAUUAGACGAGUUAUCACUGUGUUGCAUCGACAUUCUUCUCUCUAGUCCAAUUUUCUUCACCCGGAAAUGAGCAUUUAGAGGUAAUUUCCCAUCAACUUGAAGAUUCUCAGGCACAGCGGCACAGUCGGGUGACUAGCGAAGGGAACUAGUGACCCUUGAUUACCUCCGACGAUCUAAUGAACAUUUCGUCAUGGAGGACUCGGGCGACAUCAAACCAUUUGGUGAGUCACAAAGUAGUUGAUCAUAGUGGCUCGUGGCCCAUUCACAUCUGUGGUAUUGCUGGAUGGUAACAUUCAAUACACAGCUGCGUCACCAACAUAUGCCAAUAAAAAUGAAAUUACACAAGAAUAGAAGAAGAAGAAGAAGAAGAAGAAGAAUAAGAAGAAGACGAAAAAAAAAAGAAAAAUCUAAACAAAAAUAUUAUUAGUAAAACUAAACUAUACAACAUUGAAGUAGGAUACAAUACAAAAGAUAGGAAGAAAAGAGAAAGAGGGGGGUCAGAAUCAUACCUUUGUGGAAGAAGAUGAGGGGUAUUGUGAAGGAAGAAGAAGAAGAAGAAGAAGAAGAAGAAGAAGAAGAAGAAGAAGAAGAAGAAGAAGAGGGGAAGGUUAGAGUUUAGAGAGAGGGGGAGAUUAGGGAUUAUUUUCUUUUUAUUUUGGGGAGGGCUUGUGUGUAAGGUGAAGAGGGAGAAGGGUUGGGUAUUUACAAUUAAAUGAAUAAGAAAUCAAGUGGAAGAAAACAAAAAAUAAAAAAACAAAAAGAAAAAAUUGCAGACCUGGUACCCUCGCGGUCGUCACCGCGGUUGCGGAGGAAUUUAAUUCAGAGACAGUGUCUCCCAAGGUCAUCACCGUAGUUCUGGCCGUGGUCGGAGGCAGUGUUUCCCGCGGUACCACAGUCGUGGUGAAUUAUCAAUGCUCCAGUUAUUUCCGCGGUCGUCACCGCAGUCCUGGUCGCGGUCGAGAGCAGUGUUGUCUGCGAUCCUACCGCGGUCGGCGAACGCGGUCACGAUGAACGGUUUUUUUAUACAUGAAGUUACAUACUACACUUACAACACAUUCAUGUGUUGCCUCCCACACAACAUCUGAUUUAACAUCGCGGCACGACGCAAGUAGUUGAGCCAUCACUCCUCAUUCGCGUACUGGGGUUCUUUCAAAUUGAUCACCACUGUAUCCCUUUUUUCUUCAGCUAUUCCAAGGUAAUGUUUCAACCUUUGCCCAUUUACUAAGAACUUGUUUGUCCCAUAUUCUGAUUCGAUAUCAACAACUCCACUUGCGAACAUUUGCACCACUCUAAAUGGUCCUGACCAUCGGGACUUUAACUUACCCGAAAACAAUCUCAACCUUGAAUUAUAGACUAAUACUUUGUCACCGGGUUUGAAAUCCCUGUCCACGAUGUGUUUGUCAUGCAUCUUCUUCACUAUUUCCUUGCAUAGCCUCAUGCUUUCAAAGUCUUGAUAUCUAAAUUCUUCCAGCUCAUGCAACUCUAUCAGUUGAUUUUGUCCGGCUGUGUCAGGAUCCAUGUUCAAUUCCUUUAGUGCCCACCAAGCUCGAUCUUCUAGCUCCACAAGAAGAUGACAGGCCUUCCCAAAUACCAACUUGUAUGGUGAUAUACCUAUUAGUGUUUUGAAUGCAGUUCAAUAGGCCCAGAGUGCGUCAUCAAGCUUCUUUGCCCAAUCAGUUCAUGCGGCAUUUACAGUCUUGGUUAGUACACUCCCUAUUGGACACUUCAACCUGCCCAUUGGUUUGCGGAUGAUAAGGGGUAGCCACCUUAUAGCGUACAUCAUAUUUUGCAAGUCAUUUCUCGAAGGCUCUAUUACAAAAGUAAGUGUCUCUGUCACUGAUGAUCGCUCUUGGUGUCCCAAACCGGGUGAAUAUGUUCUUUUUCAAAAAUCCUACCACCACUCUUGCAUCUAUUGUGGGCAACGCUACAACCUCUACACAUUUAGACACGUAGUCCACAUCAACAAGUAUGUACUUAUUGCCAAAUGAGCUGACAAACGUACACAUAAAGUCAGUCCCCUAAAUACCAAACACCUCUAUCUCCUGAAUCGAGUUCAUAGGCAUCUCAUGGUGACGGGAAAUGUUCCCGAUCCACUGGCAUUCAUUGCAGCCCUUUACGCAGAGGUGCGCAUCUCUAAACACAGUUGGCCAAAAGAAUCCAGCCUCUAACAUUUUCGCAGCUGUCUUGACCCCUCCAAAAUAUCCUCUUUAUGUUGAUACGUGACAACACUGUAAAAACAAAAAUUGUUCUAUCUCGGGGACACACCUCCGGGUAAUAUUAUCAACACAUAUUCUAAAUAAAUAAGGCUCGUCCCAAUAAUCCAAAACUUUUUCUUUUGGAUUGAUGAAAGGUCGUAGGGAACUAUACCACAGACUAGGUAGUUUGCAAAGUCUGCAUACCAUGGCACUUUCUCAAGACUAGCUGCAAGUAGUUGCUCAUCUGAAAAGGUUUCCAGAAUCUCUUCGACCUCGACUAAUUUUUUAGCUCCUUCAAGUCGUGAUAGAUGAUCAGUGACUUGAUUUUCUAUGCCCUCAUGGUCACGAAUUUUAAGGUCAAACUCUUGUAACACCAGCACCUAAAAAAUCAGGCGUGCUUAGACUCCUUCUUCUCAAUCAGGUACCUAAGAGUUGCAUGGUCAGUGUAUACAAUUACCUUGGAUCCAAUCAAAUAUGAUCGGAACUUGUCAAAAGUGAGCUCCACCGCUAACAUCUCCUUUUUCGUCAUAGUUUAGUUGAGGUAUGCACCGCUUAGCAUUCUGCUUGCGUAAUAAAUCAGGUGCAUCAGCUUAUCCUUUUACUGCCCCAAGACGGCUCAUAUGGCAUAGUCUCUUGCGUCACACAUGAGCUCAAAUGGUUGUUCCCAGUUGGGUGCAACAAUGAUGGGUGUAAUUACCAAUCUCUUCUUCAAUUCCUCAAAUGCCAACCUGCAAUCAUUAGAAAACACAAAUGCUGAUCCUUUUCAAGGAUUUUGCAUAAUGGGUUAGCAAUUUUGGAAAAAUCUUUUAUGAAACACCGGUAGAACCUGGCAUGUCCAAGUAAACUUCUCAUCGCCUUGACUGAAGUGGGCGGUGGUAGCUUCUCAAUUACGUCAACCUUAGUAUGGUCGGCCUCAAUUCCUUUACUGGACACUCGAUGCCUUAGGACUAUCCCUUCUUGUACCAUAAAAUGACAUUUCUCCUAGUUCAGAACUCAAUUUGUCCCCCACACAUCUUUUAAGCACUCUCAUUAAGUGGUGAAGAUAGUCUUCGAAUGAAUCUCCCACUACGGAGAAAUCAUCCAUAAAAACUUUCGUAAUAUCCUCCACCAUAUCUGUGAAGAUAGCUAACAUGCAACAUUGAAAUGUCGUUUGAGCAUUGCAAAGCCCAAAAGGAAUUCUCCAAAAGGCAAAGAUGCUAUACGGACAGGUGAAUGAUGUUUUCUCUCUAUCCUCGGGGGCUAUUGAUAUUUGAUUGUACCCCGAAUAUCCAUCCAAUAAACAGGAGUGUGAUCGCCCGGCCAGCCUGUCCAAGAUUUGGUCAAUGAAGGGCAAGGGGAAAUGGUCCUUCUGGGUGACUGUGUUCAAUUUUCUGUAAUCCAUGCAACUUCGUCAUCCUGUGCCUGUACGAGUUGAGAUCAACUCAUUGUUCUCAUUUUGCACAACAGUCACCCCCUCCUCCCUUUUAGGCACACAUUGGACAGGACUGACCCAAUUGCUAUUAGAGAUGGGAAGAUGAUUCCCCCAUCUAACAAUUUGAUUACUUCCUUCUUCACUACUUCUUUCAUCUUUGGGUUCAUCCUUCAUUGAUGUUCUCUGGAAGGUUUGUGCCCUUCUUCCACGAGAAUCUUAUGCAUACAAAAAGAUGGGUUGAUACCCUUAAUAUCUGCCAUGGUCCAGCCGAUGGCAGUCAUGCUUUCUUGCAAUACCUGUAAGAGUUGUUCUACCUACACAACUAGCAAAUCGAAUGAUAUAAUAACAGGCAAAGUAGAAUUAGGGCCUAAGAAAAUAUACUUGAGGUGAUCUGGGACUGACUACAGCUCCAGCUUAGGUAGUUCCUCUAUUGAUGGCUUUGUUGGAGGUGUAGCCCUUUUUUCUAACUCAAGGGAUUCGACUGAGGUUCCCUUUUCCAGAAUCCUUGGCCUUCAAGUGCCAUGACCCAUUCAGCUAACCCUUCACCAUCCAUCUCUUCUAAAUUUGCCAAACAUGCCUCUAAUAGAUCUUUAACAGCUAGGGUCAUAUCACCUUCUUGCAAGAUCAUAUCUACUGCCUCCACUAGAGAGAAACUAGCAUAUACGUUGGGUAUCCUCAUAGAUUGCUGAAUAUUGAAUAUGACUUCUUCAUCAUUCAGUCUCAUUUUUAAUUCCCCAGUCUUACAAUCGAUCAAUACUUUUCCAGUGGCCAAAAAUGGUCUACCCAAAAUGAGAGGUAUAUCAUCAUCUACCUGACAAUCCAGAAUAACAAAGUCGGCUGGGAACACGAACUUCCCCACUUGCACCAACAAAUCGCCAAGAAUACCAGUUGGCCUUUUCACCAUGCGGUCAGCCAGUUGCAGCAACAUCAAAGUCGGUCUAGCUCUGGCAAUGCCCACUUGGUGUACACUGCCAGCGGCAUUACACCAGUUGGCCUUUUCACCGUGCGUCGGCCAGCAGUAGCAGUAGCAGUAGCGAAGUCAGCUUGUGCGAAGUCAGCUUGGUUUACACUGCCAGCAACAUCAGGUUUAUGCUAGCUCCCAAAUCACAUAAUGCUUUUGCAAAGGCAUAACUCCUAAUUGUUCAUGGAAUAGUGAAGCUACCUGGAUAAGACAUCUUUUGAGCCAUCGGUCUUGUUACCACUGUGCUUCAGGUCUGUGUCAGAGUUAUAGUGGACAGAUCCUGAAAAUUAAACUUUCAUGACAUUAGAUCCUUCAUCAUCUUGGCAUAACUGGGCAUCUUCCUCAGAGCAUCCAUCAGCGGAAUAUUCAAUUGAAUUUAACGCAACAUCUCUAUUAAUUUCUUGUAUUGGUCUGUCUUCUUUUGUUUUACCAGUCUCUGAGGGAAGGGUGCAGGUAUCACCCUUUGUGAAUUGAUUGUUGGCUUCUCUCUGUUGGAAUUUUUUGGCACAAGAGGUGCCACCUAUUCUGCAGUUUGCUCAUUCAUAUUGUUUUUGCCUUUUUCCUCCUGUUGGAAUUUUUUGGAACAAGAGGUCCACCUGUCCUACAGCUUGCUCAUUUAUCUUUUCUUUGCCUUUUUCCUCCUGAAUAUGCUCAACCACCAUUUCAGUAAGCUCUGUUGGUUCCUCCACCUCUAAUGGAACUGGAGUACUGUCGUAUUCUCCUUAUUAUCUUGUAUAAUCUCCUAUUCUCUGUCUAAAUCUCUCCCCAUUCCUCAGACUUACUGACAUAAGCAUUAUUUGGGUUUUUCUCCUUGGGUUUAUAUUUGUGUCUGCAAGCAAAAUUCCCUGAGGGUGGUUGUUUAGAGCCAUGGACAGUUGUCCCAGCUACAUUUCAAUGUUCUUUAUGGCUAAAUCAUAUACUGCCAACUUCUCCUGCACUUUAUUAUUUGUCCCAAUGAGUUGCUGAACAUACCCCUGAUUUCUAUCAUGUUGUUAUCUUGCUGAGGAGGUGUUUCUGCUGAUUUUGCUGUGGAUAGCUCUCUAGUUUGUGGAUAGCUCUGUAGUUUCUGAUAUGGUACUGGCACCAAUUGGUUUUGAGGGUGCAAACGCCCAGGCUGUUGCAUGUUAGGUCUGUACUGCUGAUUUUGUGGUGGUCUCUAUUGUUGUUCUCCUUGUCUCUGACCCCCAUAGUUAUUGACAUAAUUCAUAUCAUCCCUCGCCCCUUGAUUUUUCCCUUCUCCGCUCUAUGAACACACAUAAUACUGAUUAAUACAAGCUAUAAACAAUCUUCCAUUUGUUGUAUCAAUAAUGUGCACCUGUUUUGUACCCAUCUCAUCAAUCUUCUUUGUCAAUAUGCUCAUCUGGGUCAUGAGUGUGGCCAUAUUCUCUGGAUGUGAAUUAUUUGGGUCAAGAGGAACUGAAUGCACUUUGGGUACCAGUGUUGUAGCUCUAGUCAUCCACCCUAAAUGUUGUGACAUCUUGUCAAGAAAGAUUUUGCACUCGGUGAAUGUCUUACUCAAAAAUGCACCUCCAGCUGAAGCAUCCGCAUUUUCCUUUAGAUUGUGAGCUAGUUAAGAAGGAUUUUUCACUCGGUGAAUGUCUUACUCAAAAAUGCACAUCCAGCUAAAGCAUCCACAUUUUUCUUUAGAUUGUCAGCUAACCACAUGUAGAAUCUCUGGCCAAGCAUCUGGUCUGGAAUGCCAUGGUAAGGGCACUUCACUAGUAUCCCUUUAAAUCUGUCCCAAGUUUCUUGCAAAGACUCAAUCAGCUGCUGCUUAUACUGCAAUAUUUCAUCAAUCUGUCUUGCAGUCAUGUUGGGGGAUAGAACUUAUUCAGAAACUGCUUGGCUAAGUUCUCCCAGGUAGCUAUGGAAUUGACAGGGAGCGAAUUUAGCCAAGUCUGAGCUUCUUCGAUCACAGAGAAUGGGAACAGUAACAACUUGAUAGCUUCCGGGGUCACAUUAGGCUGCCUUUGGGUCAUACAUAUUGACGGAAAAUUUUUCAAGUGUUGCUGAGGGUCUUCAAUGUGUGACCCGGAGAACAAUCCUUUAUUCUGCAGUAGAUGCAACAUAUUGUUGGUUAUCUAGAAGGUCUCCUCUUGGAUUGUGGGCACAGCUAUGGCAGUGGCCAGAUUAUCAGCUAUGGGUUGUACCCAGUCACAAAGUGCAGCUUCGGGCACAAGAGGUGCCACUACUCUCGUGUUGGGGUUUGCUGGCGGAUCCCCAACGUUUCCAACGAUGUUGUCUGCGUCACCCAUGUCAAAUUCGAGCAGGUGUGAUUGUUGGGAUUGUUGAAGUCUCUUGUUGGCACGAUUCAGUGCCCUGAAUGUUUUCUUGGGGUCUGAGAGUCCUUCUAGCAGUUCUCCAAUCCUCGAAGAACUUCUAGGCAUACACCUGAUUUCCACAAGAGUUCAAACGUUAUAACUUUAAUGAACAUAUUGGGUAUAGAGAAAACUGACUACACUAAGAAUUUUUGUACUUCUUUCAAUUGUAAUUGAUAACACCGUUAAUUCCCCGUCAACGACACCAAAAUUUGAUAACGCCAAACUAUGCCUUAUAAAAAGACACACACGGACAUAGCAAAUAUAUUCUGUGUAUUUCUGCCUAGAAUCGAACCAUAGGGAAUUAACUUAUCAUUUACUUUUGUCGAACUUACUAAAUUAACGAAAUCAAUUUCCCAAACUUUGUAAUUCACAAUCGUUGAUAUAUCUUACAACUAGACUGAAAAUAAAUAAUAGCUGAAAGUUAACUUAUCUUGAUUUGUAAACAAUUGGAAUAAGGUCUAAAUUAAUGGCUUCUCCCGUUGUUGAUUUCCUUAGUUAAAUAUGUUUUAUAACUGAGACUUAGUUGUCUCCAUCAAUCAUGAAUGCUCCAGCUAUCAUAAAUCUUUCUCAAACAAUUAUGAUAAUUUACUAUAUGCACUUUCUCAAGCUACGCUAGCUAGAUUCACAUUACGGUUCACUUAGACUGCACCCGAUGUAUCGUUAUCUCUAAUCCAACCUCUAAACCCUCGGUUAUGACUCUCGUCUAUNGGAGUGAUGUUUUUCAUACAAUCACCUAAAUAUGCACUCUCUCUCUCAAGCAGAUACAUACUAAUAGGGGCGGAUAAUUGAGGGCCCUUUCAACUAACCACAAUCAAAACGUAGAUGAACAAAUAGAGAUUAACAACCAAUUCAAAACUAUAUUACUAUAACAACCAAGUCAUCCCCAAUGGAUUUCACCAAAACCUUAGAUUAAAGUAUUUAGCUACUCAUAACAACGUAAGAUAAAACUACUAAAUUAUUCAUAAUGGAAGAAUUGCAAGAAAAAUAGAAGAGAUAAAGAACUAUGAUGUUUUGGGUGAUCUCUCACACUUGUUAUUCUUCAAAAAAUAAUCUAAAAGAUAAGCCCUCCUUUCAUCUUGGGCGAGUUUCUACAUCUUAUAAGGGUUUUACCAAAAGUUUCCCCGAAUUGGCACUUUGGCCCCUAAAAUUUCUGGAUCUUUAACAGGUCACCGUGUUUGCGGCAUGGACCACGGUGAACACUGCCUGGGCCUAUUUUUGUGUUUUGUCUCCGCGCUCUGCUCCGUUGUCCAUCGAAAUCGUAGUGGACUUUUGUCUAGUCAUUUCUUUUGCUCUUUUGUGUUCGGGUACUUCUUGAGUGGGUAUUUUCUUCACAUUAUUGCCUCCAAACACUUCAUGUUGCUUCCUCACAUAUAGUAUUCCCUGUGAAACCAAUUAGCACCAUUUAAAGCAUUUUAUUGGCAAAUUACCUUGUAAAACAACAACAAAGCAUGAGCAGUUAGGGUGUAAAUGUCAACUAUAUAGCCUAUUAUCAGUUUGAAAUCUUCCUAAUUGACACAAAGCCCUGUGAGGAGCAUAUGACUGGAUGCUCUGGAUACCCAUCAGGAGGAGAUAACACACUUCGGCGGACAUGUAUAUUGUUUUGGUGAUAGGAAGCCAUCUGAAUGACCACCCAAGUUUAUCGCUAUUCAAAGAGCUCAAAUGUGCAAACCGGGCUUCAGUACCCUUAGGGAAUUCAAUACCCGCUACUCGGCUUUCAAAUAUUUCAAUGCAACUCAAACCGGUCAUACCAUAAUUUAUAUACCCAACCCGGUGGUAGAGAUGCUCCUGUAUCCAUAAUUGUAGUAUCAGAUUGCAGCUUUGGAAUAAUUUUUUCCCUUCUCGAAAGAUACUCAAGGCUCGGUAAAUUUCAGAUAAGAUCAGGGGAACCACAGUGCUAUUGGCCUUCUUUAUUGUAACAUCGACCAUUUCUACGAGACCCACUUCUAUAUUACCAUCUUCUCGCGGACAGACUACAAUACCUAAGAAUGUUGUUGCAAAGGCCAAACCCCGUCUUGCCUCCCAUUUGUCUUUAUUUUCGGCGUGGGUCAAACCAGUAUUUGGUGAUUCAAAACCUUGAGGGCUACCAUAAUGUUGAUACAGGAACUAGAAAGUGCAUACCCUUCAAAUAAGUUUCCAUCUUGAAUAUCCCAAAUAAUACUUAGCAAAUUCAAAAAUUUGUGGGGAGAUAUCGGUCUUGGUGACACUGGGUACCACUUCUUAGGUUUCCGUUAAGGUCAGCAUAACCCCUAAUUUCUUUAAGGAGGGUGUGAGCUCAACCAAAACACAUUACGAGUUGGAUCCCAAAAAGAUAUUAAAGCUUCAAUUACGUCCAACCUUGGCUUGAUGUUCAACCGUCCAACGAGACCUCCCAGAACCUUUACCACAGUUUCUCUACUGCCUUUUUCUAGAUCAUUCCACCACAUGUGGAGCUGUAAGGGGAUCUCUUUAAGGGCUGUGAAGGGUUCAAUUUCAUUUGUGCUAAUUGUACACAUUUAUUAAGGCGAUUUAAUAACUUAUUUUGACUCAAAGCAAAAGGGAAACACUAUUCUUUCAAAAUUUUGUUUAAAAUAAAAUCCAGUUUUGCAAAUACGGCCUUUCAACACCUCGGGGAAGAAGAUUUUAAGAUUGUGUCAGCUAAUUGGCCAAAGAUUAAAAAUGACCAAAGGUGGUUGUUCUUGCAGAAUCAGCCUUCCGGCGCCCUUUUGGGGACAUUCGACUUAAUUUAAACAAGAUAGUCAUCACCCUGCUUAUUUGUGAUAAAAAUAAUUUUUUUUGUUUUUUUUUUGGGCUAUUUUGCAAAAAUGAAGUUGGACCCGACGGGGGUUGCCUACGUAUCCCAUAUCCGGUGGGAAUCAUAUUGCAUAUUUCGGACAAAUUUUAAACAAAACAACUAUUUUUGAAAACUUUUCUUCUUUUUCACCUUUUUUUUCAAAAUCAGGCAGAGUUUCAGUACUUUUUGGAGAUUGAUUUUCAAAAAACAGGUGAUUAUCUCUCUUAACCCUCACACUGCUAUUUUCUUCUCCCAAAUUUCUUCCAUUAUUCACAAGCCAGUCAACAUGUAAAUCAAAGCAAAGAAAUGCACAAGUAGCAAGUAGGAUGCAUCAGGGGUCUUUUCAUUUCACGUACACCUGUCCUAGAAAGACCCAACCCUUGUGUUGAGUCUCCUAAGUCAAAUGCACGUGAUGCAACCAAACGUUCCUACUAGGGAUACAAUAUGAGGUUUUGUUAUACUAGGUUUAAAACCUGAGUUUAUUAUUCUAGACCUGGCUUACCCAAGAGGACAGCUCGAGCCAAGGGCGGGGCAGCGUACCGGAAAUACAGAAGCUUCGCCGGCUUUGCAAAUUGUCCGAACCUCGUUAUAAAAUUAGGAUAAGACUCUAACAGAAAAGAGUUACACGAAGUGCACACUUCCCAGAUGAUUUAGAAGACUCAGAGAGAAGAAGGGUUCCACGGCAGUUUAUGUACAAUUCACAAAAUAUCAAAGCGCUAAAAACAUUUAGCAUAUUGGGCUCAAAUAUAUAGAAAAUUCAAAUAAUAAAUAAAGUCAAUCAUAACAACUAUUUUAAGCUUAAUUCUUAAACCCUGAAUCAAAGUUCUGGGUUUGGAUCCCCAGCAGAGUCGCCAGAGCUGUCACACCUCCUUUUUUACACACCUCUCUGUAGGGUAGUAUAUAAGGGAGUUUUUUGAAUUUAAGUGACAUUAUUCGAAAUGAGAUUAUUUAUUUAUUUUUGUUCAGAGUUGCCACUUGGGAUAGGUUUAUUUUCUGGUGUUCCAAGUUACCGUUUAUUUUAAAAUCUCAAAUCGAGGAAAAUUUGACUUUUCUUUUGAAGUUUGUGAACCAGAAAUUCUAGAUAAUGAAUUUUGUUAACUUGAGGGAAGAUGUUAGGCACCUCCGAAUUCCGUGGUUCUAGCAUGAUCGCUUAAACCAUUACAAUUGGCAUGUUAUCUAGUUUUAAUACAUGUUUUAGCCUAUGGUGCAUUUUAAACUUAUUAACCGCUUUUAAUUAUUUUUAAUAAGAUCUCAACGUCAUCUAAAGCACAUCUUUGGACCAUACCACAUGAAAUAGACCUGCAAUCUGAGACAUAUUUUAUUUUAUAAUAUUGUGAGAUAGAGUUGGGUCACAUGAAAUGCACACCCAAAUUUAGAAAAGUAACUUAUUAAAAUAACGUGCCUAAAGCAACUAAGCAUUUUUAACUUUGCGAGGGCCAUAAAAAUUUACUAAAUGGCAUACCUCGAGCUUUAAGGAUUUUAAAAUUAACUAAGUGAGCCGUGCAUUUUUCAGAUUUUUUGGGCAUGGUGCGCCUCGAUUCUAUUUUAAAAGGAAGUUUAAACUAACUUUGAGGGCCGCAAACUAUUAUUGUACUUAAUAUGGCACAUCUCCAAAUCUAUUUAAUGUAAGCUAAUUAAUUAAACACUAAUGGAAUUUGUACUCUACUUUUAAUACUAAUGCUCAAACUAAUUAAAGAAAAUCGCCUUGAAGAGAACAUGGCCGAUUAUUUGAAAGAGAAUGGCUUGGGCCAUCACAUCAUUUAGAUAGGGAAAAAUAAAGGCAUGCCCAAACAUGAUAGGGCCAUGCAAUCCCACUUCAGGGGUGCCUCAUGUUCCCAGGCCCAAAAUAGCCUACAUCUUUUGAGAACCAAGGACAACUAAAAUCAAGACUCGUAUUCGAAUCUCCAAGCAUGUGUACAAUAUCAUAAAAUCAAAAGGGUGUCAAUAUCGAACCCAUCUAAAUGUCAAUCAUUGCAUAACUACACAUGCCAUCAGAUUUAAAUCAAUUCAAGCUAACUUAAUGGACAUUUGCAUAAGCUCCCAACCUCAAUUAAACCCCUUUUCUACGCAUACAACAAAUAAAGAUCUUAAUUUAACCUCAAACUUGGAUUAAAUAUGCUUGCAAUCACACUCCAUAGAAAUUCUGUACAUAGCUUGACCCUUAAGAUCAUAACUCAAACCAUUUUUCUUGUCCAAAUGACUGUAAACUGAUUAAUGACUUUAAAAUCAUUGACGAUUUUACAAAGCAAAGUACUACAUGAUUUUCCAAAUAGCAAAUGCAAUACUAGAUAAACUUCAACAUGAAAUUUUCUGGUUUCAGACCUUAGGAAUAUCAACUUAAGCAGAUUCAAACAAGUUCCCUCAAUAGCACCGAUUUCAACAAGCUAAAGCAGAUAUGAAACAUGCAUAACUCUUCUGAAAUUUCUAUUACACUAAUUCCUUACCACCUACACAUAUGAUCAGAAAACUUCAAGCAUUUAAACUAAGCAAAUGAAAUGAACGUUUAUCCAACACCAUAAUAUGAUCUGAAAAUACAAUGAACACAAGACUAAACAGCUUAUGAGCAUAGGUAGAGUUCUCUUAAAACACAAAGGAGCUCAAAUGUAUUUUUCAACAAGCUCCAUGUUUUCCAUACACAUAACCACAUUUACAACUUCACUUUCCUGUCAAUGGUUCAAAGAAAUACCUGUAAUUCAAAACAAAACAGAAAAUGGUGGUUCAGCAGCAGAAACAACAACAACACUAUAGUAGGAUUCAAUACCAACAGCCCAUUUCAACCGAAAAAGAUGUGAAACGGUUCAAACAAACUCCCAAUCGAACAAUAACCGAAGGAUAACUUCAGAACCAAGCUUUUAAAACCAGACUCAAUCCAUUUUUUGACCCCAGAUGAAUCAGAAAAUGUUUCAGAAUUAGAAAAAAAGAACUUCGGGAAAUCACUAGAGAGGAUUCAAUGGAAUAGUAUCUUUGUAAAAAUUUUAGCUGUUUUGAUUUUUUCUAAAUUUUUAUCCUUUUUUUAGUCUCUAAAAUCUUUAUAAUCUAUAAUGAGCUGCCCUUAGAAAUGUCUUUAUAGGUAAGCUAUAGGCAUAAAAAUUGUUCAAUUUUUGCCCUUUAGACCUUUCAUAAUUUUUAUUUUUGCUGCUUGGUCCUUAAAUUACUUACUUGUUGGCCAAGUAAGCCUAUUUUAAGCUUCUAAGAAGCUUCCUAAGGCAGUUAUUGAAAUAUUUCCUAAGUAAACUGCCCAAAUUACCCUUCAAUGACCAUGUUUUUAACCCAUGAAUCUCAAAUAUGUUAUAGGUCAAUGACCCGAAGGUUCAUGUCCAAGUAAACGAAUAAGAUAGACCUAGAGCCCAGACCAAAUGGGGUCAGAAACCCAAACAACUUAACGAUAUGCGGAAAAAAGAGAUAUUUGAGUGAUUUCAAGAUUCAGAAUUUAAGCUACAAAUAACCACUUUCUACUCUAAAAUACUAAAUUAAAAUUAGAACUAAGUUAACAAUUUACAACAAACUACUCAGAAAAUUUCACAGCCCUAAAAUAAAAACCUGAGAAUAUGAUUAAAGCUUUAAAAAGAAAAUUGAAGAGAUGAAGCAGAAAUCAACAAACAAUACAAAACAAACUAUCCUAAACGGGGGGGNNNNNNNNNNNNNNNNNNNNNNNNNNNNNNNNNNNNNNNNNNNNNNNNNNNNNNNNNNNNNNNNNNNNNNNNNNNNNNNNNNNNNNNNNNNNNNNNNNNNNNNNNNNNNNNNNNNNNNNNNNNNNNNNNNNNNNNNNNNNNNNNNNNNNNNNNNNNNNNNNNNNNNNNNNNNNNNNNNNNNNNNNNNNNNNNNNNNNNNNNNNNNNNNNNNNNNNNNNNNNNNNNNNNNNNNNNNNNNNNNNNNNNNNNNNNNNNNNNNNNNNNNNNNNNNNNNNNNNNNNNNNNNNNNNNNNNNNNNNNNNNNNNNNNNNNNNNNNNNNNNNNNNNNNNNNNNNNNNNNNNNNNNNNNNNNNNNNNNNNNNNNNNNNNNNNNNNNNNNNNNNNNNNNNNNNNNNNNNNNNNNNNNNNNNNNNNNNNNNNNNNNNNNNNNNNNNNNNNNNNNNNNNNNNNNNNNNGGGGGGGGGGGGGGGGGACUAUAUUCAAAAUGGUCUUCAUUCAGUACAUGCUCGAAUAUAUGGAGGCGGAAGUAAAUUAACAAAAGAAUAGACGAAACAGAAAAAAAUGAACAAAAGGCAAAGAAAGAAUAAAGAAACUCACCGAUAUAGACUGAAUACUAAUGGAGACCAAGGACUUAAACUAAUAUCGAUCCAUCGUUCUUUGUCAAGAACAAACUGAACGAUAUUAGUUUUGUCAAGUCCAACCUUCAAAACUAGAAAAGAAAUAGAAUCCCAAGGUCGUGCAUGUUGCCAGAUUUGAUGAAAUAUGAUUUCGAACUUUGGAGGUCAAACUCAGAUUCAAAAUUAGACAAAUUUGAAGCUGAUUCGAGGGUAACUGACCAUAGAUUAGGGAAGAGAUGGUUGUUGUGACUAUGUGGUGUUAGUUUGGGAGGGGUUGGUGUGACGCCGCCACCGGAGAAAACAAAGGCGGCGCUAGGGUUUGGACAUUUGAUUGGAUAUUUGAAGAGUUUCAGGUGUAUUUGAGAGAAGGUGACCGGAGAAUUGAGACGAGGGGGACCUGGGUAUCGCUUGGUGUUAAUUUAGUGGUGAUUGGCUGCCGGCCGCCACCGUGGGCGAUUUCCGGCGAGCGGCGGACAGUGGCCCAAGAGUUGCAUUAUGUUAGGACUUCUGAGGGUGUGUGAGAGACGAUUUGGG